CCAUUGGGGUUGGUCGGUGGAAAUGGAUUUAUUGGUCCCUGGGCUGCCCAACGUCUGCUUGAAGUAAUCUGGGGGGCAGAGUCACUGAGGAACAGCGUGCAAAGGAUCUCCAAGGGAUCCCCGCAAAGUUCAGCUGAAAUUACCUCCUGAGUCCCAGCAGCUGCUUCUGCUGGGGCUUCCCUCUCCCAAAGCCAGCAAAGAGAGAAGGAAGCCCGCAGAAUUGGUCUUACUGAAUCUGUAACUCAAGUGACCAGAUUCUCUUCUGUCACUUAAUUUUUUUUUUAAAAGUGCUGAAGGUGGACUGUGGAAUCAGCAUCUAAUGACCCCUAAAGGAUAAAAUAUUUUAUCUUCCUUAGGGGAGGAAAACCCCAAUCCUAAUUCAUCUUUUGUUUGAAUUAGAAAGAAGAAAAGCUUACCAUUUCAAGCAAGACAACAAUUCAAACAUUAGAAAAGAAGAGUUAUUAUUUGAAGAGUAAUAAACAUUGGACCUGCAGUUCCUUAGACUGUAACUGCAAAGUGCCUUACACCAGGAUUUUCCAGGAGUCCCUGUCUCUGAAGAUACAAAGUGGUUACAGCUGGUAAUAAAAAAAAGGAGAAACAGUGGUAUUUUAAUAGCAUAAGGAGCUGGAACAGAUGAUCUUGUAUCUUUCUGCUGAAGCUAUUUUACUCCAAGGAGGAAGUAAUUUUAUUUUCUUUGCUUAAAAAUUUUUGGUGUUCACUGUUUGUGCUGCUUGCAUAUUGAGACCUGAAGGAAGCUUUGUAAGUCACACUGCUUUAAAAAAAAUAAAAAUUGAGCUUUGACAUAAACUACCAAACUGCUUUCAUUACUAACAACAAUCCUUUUCUGUGGAUGCUGAAAACUGGGAAGCACUGAACAUCUACUGUAUUUGGCAUCUACUAUAUUUGUCUUUUUUACCUUUAAGUACAUCAACAGGCACUAGCCCCUUGGUAUCUCACCACCACAAUGGAAGAAGUCUGGGUUGUGUAUCUGUGCCUGAUCUUGCUUAUCGUGGUGCUUAUUCUAAUGAAGCAUAACCCACAUUUGGAAGAGGCCAAGAAGGAGAGGGAAAGCAAAAGCCCCCCACCAUCCUCUUCCUUUUUUCCCAGUACUGUUGGCAAACAGCUGGAGCACACCCAGGAAGAGCUGGAGCACUAUCUGGAGAGGCUAACCCAUGUCUUGUUUGACUCAGAAGCUAGGAAAAGGGAUGGCCACCAUGAUCAGAAGUCCCACCACCAGCAGCACAGAACCACUGAUGUUACAUCUGAAACUAAAGAGCAUUCAGGGAAGGAGGCAGCAUAUUCUCAGUAUCUGUCGAGCCACACAAGGGUUCAGACUUGAUGCAGCAGAUCAUCCUUGUCUGGACAGUUGAAAACAUUAAUAUAAGCCCUUCUUUUGUGCAAAAUCAAUGGAAAUCAUGCAGAAGCAUAGUAGCAGAAAUCAUCUUUUGCUGUUGCUCGCUUGUUUUUUGGGAGUAGUAAGAAAGAAGUUGCAACCUAAACAAACACUUGUCAAUAACUUGUCAAGAAUGAAAGGCCUAAUUCUGCUCCUGUUGAAGUAAAAUGCAUAACUUUUCAACUUUGCUUGGAAGCAGGUUAGUGCCAAACUGUCAGGGUUUUUGUUUAUUGGUCAGGCAAAGUGUAAGUGUUAGCAUAGUUUCAGAAACUGUAUAAUGGUUAACAGGGUGUACUGCUUGAUGGAGAUUCAGUCAGUUCAGAAUCUGAUUUAUGUGUCACCUGAGCACAAGAAUGUGUGGGUACGUAUGAAGGCAUUUGGGUCUCUGUCCCAGGUGAAGGAAGGACAUUGCUGCUUUUGUUCAGGGAAGGGGUAGCCUUUUUUUUUUCUUUUUUUUUUUUAAGUUUACUUUGAGCAUUUUAUAACUCUUUUAAAGCAUACAGGUUAUUUGAAGGUGCCAAAUUAGGUUCUCUGGAAAAUGAAAUCCUCUGUGUUGUCUAGAAGAGAGAGGCUGGCUUGCUAAAAGCCAUCCUUAAAGCUUCUGUGUGUCGGUCUUAUUCUAAAUCAGCCACAUCCAGGAUCUCUGUUGCCUUUGCCUGCCCAAUUCUGAGAAAGCGGCAGCUCUGUUGGUGCUACUGUGCAAGAGAGGAGUGAUAUAAAACCUGUUACGGAUGGGGAGAGAGAGAGAGAGAGAGAGAGGGAGAGAGAGAAUGCCACCCAGCUGGAAGAGGAGGCCCUGGACAAAGAUGUUCAAGAGCAAAAAUCUAUGGAAAUUCAGAAUAAUAUAACUAGUAUUGGUAAGAAACCUCUCAGAUUUUUCAGAGGGCAUGGAACUUGAAUGGACUUUGGAUCAAGGCACUGUUGGCCAUAGUUGGUUAGCUGUCAAUGUAGACACCUUCAGUUAUUCCAUCUUCCUCCAGGGAAGGCUGUUUUGCCUUGCAAAACAGAUGCUCAGAAGGAGCUAGGUUGGUGGGCGAUUGGGGUUUUUUUUUGUAAUUCAUUGCACACAUCUAAGCAUUUGCCUAGUAUGAUAAAAUCCCUAUUUUCCUAUGUAUUUCUAUUUGUUUUUACACAUGGAUUUAUUAAAUGAUGUAAAAAUAAUUUCCAGAUUUCCUCUGCUUACCCACUGACUCCCUGUUCUCAUGCAAACUGAGUAGUCCACUCAUUACAGCCAAAACAGGAGCAAAUAAAUGGAUUCAGACUUAACA
This 2661-nucleotide long non-coding RNA is filed under the name Apteryx owenii (little spotted kiwi). Its description in RNAcentral is "lncRNA (ENSAOWG00000013658.1)". Lineage: Eukaryota; Metazoa; Chordata; Aves; Apterygiformes; Apterygidae. The record is from RNAcentral.